This 1654-nucleotide long non-coding RNA is filed under the name Chlamydomonas reinhardtii. RNAcentral describes it as "long non-coding RNA (CREI_LNC001477)". Lineage: Eukaryota; Viridiplantae; Chlorophyta; Chlorophyceae; Chlamydomonadales; Chlamydomonadaceae. The record is from RNAcentral.
AGCCCCCCCAUACAAGCCCCCUGGAAAGCGCCCCAUGCUCACAUAGCUAGCUCUGGCGAGUCAUCAAGAUGGUGCACGCAGCAACUGCAGAGUGUUGCGGUGAGUUGACCUCGCACCCGCAUGACAGGGACAGGAAUGCACGCCGUGCUCACCAUCUUGCACACAACGCAAAAUCAAACAGAAUCCCAUGCCGCGACGUACGACUCGCCGUUUGGAUACAUACGGAAUUCCGCACCUAUACCAUACACAUCGUACAGAACCUCACAAUACCGUGCAUAUGGCGCCCUCGCCUUUUGGGCCACAGCGAAUACAGUGCUUCCGGCCACCGUCAUGUUCAAAGGCACCGAAAGACCUGGUAUUUUUGAUACGCGGCGAUUGAAAUCGUACCAUACCGAGUCGUCGGGCUGUGCCGAGAAGCCUGCCAAUGUCACAUCAAAUCCAGAUGCUUCCAGAGCACUAACUACUUCACCAGAUGUGUACUCGCGCGAAUGUGCGAGACCCAGCGAAUGACGGCGUCGGAAAAGAAACUGCAAUAUAUACACACAAUCAGACAGGUGAUGCCGCACACACCUUCAAUACACUACCUUGUGGUAUGAAUGCGGCGAAUUCCCAUGCAGCAUUUGAGCAAUGCCUCUCAGGCUACCUAAAUUUGGCGUUGAUAAAAAUAAUAUGCCGCCAGGUCGAAGAACACGAUGAAUUUCUAAGAUACCAAACAUUGGAUCAAGGCUUAAAUGUUCAAAAACAUGGAACAUAAUAACAUAGUCAAUGGAGGCGGACGGUAAUGGUAUCGGUUCUUGUUCCACGUCAUGCUUAAAUAGUGGAUAUUCGAAUGUGUGAUUGCGAAUUCGGAGUGAAAACCACCCUGAACAUGGCGCGUGAAGUUAAGCUUUACUCCUUCUUUGGUGGACAUACCAUUUGCGAGGUUGGGAAUAACUUUAUGGCGACCGGACGGCGCAUCCCAUGUGGUGACUUGUAUCCAGCUCGGAUCGAGAAGCAAAGAAAUUAUAGAAGGUAAAAUUCCAUUACCAUGCUCACCAAUGAAAAGAAACCGUGAUCGCUGCUGUGCAUAUUGCAUAAUUCGUUCCAUGCUUAGGGCAAUCCGAUUUACGCUAGCAUGAUUGUACGGGUCAUUUGUUGCAUGUGCAACUUCUCUUACAACCUCGUGUAUUUUUUGUACAUCUAUUGGCCAAAGCCGGGAAUCAGGGCCUUGGGCCCCAUCAUAUGUACUAUAUGACGAUGCAUGCCGUGGGCUGUAUGCGAUACACAAUACUGUAAAUACAAGCCGUAAAGGUGAAUACAUCUGGGACGGGCAAUGAAUGAGGAUUUGGUGGACGAUUGUUGAACGAAGGAGGUAAGCAAACUAGCGGAUUGCCAUGCGAUCCAUGGGGCGUGCCCCAAAGAGAGUCCAGUGACAUGGGACGCAACCUGACGCAACGUACGGUGUUAUAGUGCUGAGCAUGAGAGCAGGCGUAUGCAAGUAGUGACCCUUUGUGGCGUAGAGGUGAGGCGAAAGGAGGCUGGUAUAGGAUUGGCGACUGAAGUCUUAGUAUGAUCUGGAGUGCCAGAGUUGUAACAUACGUACGUUGAGCGAAAGGUACUGCGGAUGCUGGCGUGCGCACAACCUUCCGGACCGGUGACUGGGGCGGGGUCGGGG